GACGAACGCUGGCGGCGUGCUUAACACAUGCAAGUCGAACGGAAAGGCCUGCUUUCCCUUGUGGAUUGCGGGUACUCGAGUGGCGAACGGAUGAGUAACACGUGAGUGAUCUGCCCCCAACUUGGGUAUAAGCCUGGGAAACUGGGUCUAAUUCCCGAUAGGACUGCAGGGUGGUGCCUGUGGUGGAAAACGAUUUUCUAGUGGUUGGGGAUGAGCUCGCGGCCUAUCAGCUUGUUGGUGGGGUAAUGGCCUACCAAGGCGGCGACGGGUAGCCGGCCUGAGAGGGUGGACGGCGACAUUGGGACUGGGAUACGGCCCAGAGUCCUACGGGAGGCAGCAGUGGGGAAUAUUGCACAAUGGGCGGAAGCCUGAUGCAGCGACGCCGCGUGGGGGAUGACGGCCUUCGGGUUGUAAACUCCUUUCGACCGCGAGGAAGCCACCUGGGUGGGAGGGUGGUGACGGUAGUGGUAGAAGAAGCACCGGCUAACUACGUG
This 494-nucleotide ribosomal RNA is filed under the name uncultured bacterium. RNAcentral describes it as "partial 16S ribosomal RNA". It matches the Rfam family "Bacterial small subunit ribosomal RNA", at positions 28 to 507 of the family's 1533-position model. The record is from RNAcentral.